GCAUAUAUUAUGUUUAGUAUGGAAUUCAGCAUUUGUGCCUGGAACAUCCAGGUUGCUUUUGUCCAUGAACUGACUCUGCUGAUUUGCCGUUCUGUUCUGAGAUAAACGUGCUUGUUUGAGAUAACUAUGCGGCUCACUCCAUUUAAUUUGUGUCCAACGGUGUCCCAAUGCACAAUUGAGCUUGUCCUUUAAUGUAAAGCUGAUUCAGUAUCUUUCCCGUGCAGUUAUUUUUUUUUCCCAUGUCAGCAAAUUGCGGCACUAUUCUGUGUUUGGAGGUGGGGCAUGGAAUGAUGAUUAUUCCUUUCGAACGAGUAACAGACCUAGGGGUGAAGUUCUAUGUUUGAGUCCAGAUGUUGUAAGCAUUUUCAUCUCUGUAGGUUUGGAAAACGGGUGUAAAGAAGAGAACAGUAUCGAACCAAAUUAGGCUGUUGUUAGACAUUUUCAGCAUUUUCCCGGGCAAGAAGUACACCGACAAGAUGAUGACAGCACAGUACAGGAAAUCCCUCCAAAUACCACAUGUGGAGUUCUGCAGUGUUUAAGCUCACAACAUGAGGGGGUGGUCAGCAGGGACGGAAGGCGUCCCAGAGUUAAGUGGAGCAGGUGGACAGCUUCCUGAAAGAAGAAUCCAAACAACUAUUUGAAGCCCAGCAAUACUUCUUAACAAUAGAAUAUUUCAUGUUUGAGCGCCAGCUCAAACAACAUGGAAGCCAAGCAUGGCAUUAAGAAAGACGUUCCUGUCCUCUGACGAGCCCUCACACGUGCUCUCACACAUUACUGUAGCAGCCAGCGAAACCGGAACAGGAACUGGACCUUCUAAAUUGGGGUGAAAAAGAGAGAAAGAGAACGUCAUCCUAGAUCUGAUAUCGAAGCCAUUUAUAGUCUACUCUUUCCUUCUUUCUUGCUCACUUUUUAUAGCCUGGUAUGAGAAUGAGUGAACAGCAGGACUGCGCUUUAUGUUUUAUCAUAAUAUGAAUGGUGGCGUAACGUUACCGGCUGAAAAUGACGCAUGAGCCGUAAAGCCCUAUCACUGCACGCGCCUCCCAAGAAAUAAAUGAAUCCUGAACUAUUUAAUCAUGUAAAGAAAAAUUAAUUCCAUGCUUGAGUCAUCAUUUGAGCUGUGCGAUCAUUCUUAUUAGCGCAUCAGAAACUCAUUUAAUCACGUGACUCCCUCUGAACUGAAACUAGAUUCAGUUUAAUUAAAUUCAUCCUUUUCUAGUUCAGGUAUAUUGAUGUGCUUCCAUUUCCCUUUUUCCCCACUGAUUGACAGUUAGUGCGUUUGCGCAUUUUCGCUUUUUUAAAAUGAUCUGAGGAAGAGGCCGCGCAGAGCUGCCCCAGUCUCAGUGUGAGAAUGUGUUGCAAGUUGAUUUUGUGCUGCUGUUUUUCAGUAGUGAAAAAGCUUCCUCUGCAGGGCUCCCAUCUGUCUGUUCAGGAAUAGCAGACAAUGGGUUUCCAACCAAAAGUGCUGACAAAAACACACACAUCAUUGAACAGCUUGCUGACAUUUGAAUAGUUUUUUCUCUCUUCAAAUUUACUGCAAUAUCACAAUUACUCAUAAAUUAAAUUUAAAAAAAGUAUUUGAAAAGCAGCAUUUUCUCAUUGAUCUGGACCACCUGGUAUACUGUACAACAUGACAUAAACGUCAAUUACACUUAAGUACACGAGUAUACUUUAGGUGUACUUCAGCAUACCAUUUUUUCACUUGGGGUAUAUUAUGGCACAGAAAUUUUAUUUAUUAGAUUUCACUUAUCGAACCUUUUUCACAUUAGGGUAGGUCAAGUUAAAUGCAAGGAUUUCACGUUUUCUACUUUAAGGGGAAUUUAUUCAAAUGAGGGAGUUUACAAAAUAAAUGAACUCUAAUGAGGCUAAUGCAGUUAAAAUUUAAUUGGUGGAUCCGUAUUGACCUCAUUUAUUUUUUCAGCGCUGAUUUGAGGUUUAGGUUUGAUGAUGCUAUUUUUGGUUGAGCGAAAAUCAAAAUGCCGCCCUAAUACUAUUGUCUUGGUACUUUUGUGAUAUGAUAUGGCACUAAAGGCGGUAUGACUGCCGGCCGCUUAUACACAACACGAAAUUCAUUUCACGUCACAAGGUUUCUAAACUCGAAUUCGAAUUAUAUAGCGCUGUGAUUUAUUACGAAAUUAAAUGAUUCUCCGUGUUAUUUAGAUGUUAUAAAUAAAGACACGUUUAAGCUACCCAAAAAGAAUAUUACAGGCCACAAUCUGAGUAUAUUAAGUAAUCUGCCCUCCCGGACACACUUUCUCCAUUUUCGAGAAAACGAUAAAGGGGCAACGGUGAGAGUAGCAGAAAUCAAUUACAAUUAUUCUUC
This is a long non-coding RNA of Anguilla rostrata (American eel), 2320 nucleotides long. RefSeq lists it as uncharacterized. Lineage: Eukaryota; Metazoa; Chordata; Actinopteri; Anguilliformes; Anguillidae. The transcript is spliced from 4 exons. The record is from RefSeq and is a predicted model, not a curated record.